This 480-nucleotide ribosomal RNA is filed under the name Streptomyces sp. B348. RNAcentral's name for it is "bacterial SSU rRNA". It matches the Rfam family "Bacterial small subunit ribosomal RNA", at positions 163 to 657 of the family's 1533-position model. Lineage: Bacteria; Bacillati; Actinomycetota; Actinomycetes; Kitasatosporales; Streptomycetaceae. The record is from RNAcentral.
CUAAUACCGGAUAACACUCUGUCCCGCAUGGGACGGGGUUVAAAGCUCCGGCGGUGAAGGAUGAGCCCGCGGCCUAUCAGCUUGUUGGUGKGGUAAUGGCCUACCAAGGCGACGACGGGUAGCCGGCCUGAGAGGGCGACCGGCCACACUGGGACUGAGACACGGCCCAUACUCCUACGGGAGGCAGCAGUGGGGAAUAUUGCACAAUGGGCGAAAGCCUGAUGCAGCGACGCCGCGUGAGGGAUGACGGCCUUCGGGUUGUAAACCUCUUUCAGCADGGAAGAAGCGAAAGUGVCGGUACCUGCAGAAGAAGCGCCGGCUAACUACGUGCCAGCAGCCGCGGUAAUACGUAGGGCGCAAGCGUUGUCCGGAAUUAUUGGGCGUAAAGAGCUCGUAGGCGGCUUGUCACGUCGGAUGUGAAAGCCCGGGGCUUAACCCCGGGUHUGCAUUCGAUACGGGCUAGCUAGAGUGUGGUAGGGG